UAGUCCACGCCGUAAACGAUGGAUACUAGGUGUCCGGGAUAUUAACCUCCUGGGUACUACAGUUAACGCGUUAAGUAUCCCGCCUGGGGAGUACGGUCGCAAGGCUAAAACUCAAAGGAAUUGACGGGGGCCCGCACAAGCGGUGGAGUAUGUGGUUUAAUUCGAUGAUACGCGAGGAACCUUACCUGGGCUUAAAUGUAGAUUGCAUAGAUUAGAGAUAGUCUUUUACUUCGGUACUAUCUACAAGGUGCUGCAUGGUUGUCGUCAGCUCGUGCCGUGAGGUGUCGGGUUAAGUCCCAUAACGAGCGCAACCCCUAUCGUUAGUUGCUAGCAGGUAAUGCUGAGGACUCUAGCGAGACUGCCACCGUAAGGUGAGAGGAAGGUGGGGAUGACGUCAAAUCAGCACGGCCCUUAUGUCCAGGGCUACACACGUGUUACAAUGGCAGGUACAAAGGGCAGCUACCAGGUGACUGGAUGCUAAUCUCUAAAGCCUGUCCCAGUUCGGAUUGGAGU
Molecule: ribosomal RNA, 513 nt
Filed under: uncultured bacterium
Lineage: Bacteria
Description: bacterial SSU rRNA
Rfam family: Bacterial small subunit ribosomal RNA
Source: RNAcentral